UUAAGAGUUUUUUGUUGUUUUUUUAAGUCGAAAACAUUCAACCUUUGAAAGCCAGAAUUGUUCACUUUCUUUCCCCUCAAUUUUCUUUGUGAGAUUUUUAAUGGCGCUCAUUGCUAAUGACGUCAUUGUUGCCCGGAUGUUCGGACUAAGCACGAACAGAACGGCAACAUCUGAACGUUGGAAGAAGACGAUGUCCAUCCAGGGCGCUUCAUUUCAAUAUUCUCCGAUACAGAAGCACAGUGUGAGGAAACUAAAACGAUGGUUGAAAUGCAGAAGACUCAAAGUGAGCGGAAAGAAAGCAGCCCUGGUUUGAAAGGGUUUGAGCCGUCACUACGUGAAAAGGAAGCCAGCUUCUCACCGAGGAGCUGUCAGCGGUCCCAGUUCCCAUCCAUCAGGAGCUGCUGCCGUGGUGCCCUGGACGUCUGACUGGGAGCAAACUGUACCAACAGAUGUUAUAAUGGAGGCAACAGCUGGAGGACGGUCUUCACCUUGCAGAUUGUCCUGAUUCUAUCAGUUUUCUGCUUUAAAGCCUUCCUGGUUCUGGAGCAGACAGCAGAGGCGACGAGUGGGUUUGGUCCCGGAGGAGCAUAAGGAACGAAGUGAGUCAUUCUGAGAAAGAUCUUCCUGGUGAUUAGAAGAGACACAGCUGAAGCUCCAAACUGAGCCUCCCAAAAAUAAAAGGAUGUUCCUCA
Xiphophorus couchianus (Monterrey platyfish) is the source of this 692-nucleotide long non-coding RNA. RefSeq lists it as uncharacterized. The transcript has 3 exons. NCBI's taxonomy places the organism in Eukaryota, Metazoa, Chordata, Actinopteri, Cyprinodontiformes, Poeciliidae. The record is from RefSeq and is a predicted model, not a curated record.